Molecule: transfer RNA, 72 nt
Filed under: Thermoflexales bacterium
Lineage: Bacteria; Bacillati; Chloroflexota; Thermoflexia; Thermoflexales
Also listed under: 1 other name
Description: tRNA-Ile
Rfam family: tRNA
About the family: Transfer RNA (tRNA) molecules are approximately 80 nucleotides in length.
Source: RNAcentral
GGGCUUGUAGCUCAAUGGCAGAGCAGCGCCCUCAUAAGGCGUGGGUUGCAGGUUCGAAUCCUGCCGGGCCCA